GCGGCUAUAGUUUAGUGGUAGAACUCCAGCUUGUGGAGCUGGUCGCGAGAGUUCGAUUCUCUCUAGCCGCCCCC
RNAcentral lists this transfer RNA (74 nucleotides) under Candidatus Zambryskibacteria bacterium CG_4_9_14_3_um_filter_42_15. RNAcentral's name for it is "tRNA-His". It matches the Rfam family "tRNA". Rfam says of the family: Transfer RNA (tRNA) molecules are approximately 80 nucleotides in length. Their secondary structure includes four short double-helical elements and three loops (D, anti-codon, and T loops). Further hydrogen bonds mediate the characteristic L-shaped molecular structure. tRNAs have two regions of fundamental functional importance: the anti-codon, which is responsible for specific mRNA codon recognition, and the 3' end, to which the tRNAs corresponding amino acid is attached (by aminoacyl-tRNA synthetases). tRNAs cope with the degeneracy of the genetic code in two manners: having more than one tRNA (with a specific anti-codon) for a particular amino acid; and 'wobble' base-pairing, i.e. permitting non-standard base-pairing at the 3rd anti-codon position. Lineage: Bacteria; Candidatus Zambryskiibacteriota. The record is from RNAcentral. RNAcentral also lists the same sequence under 1 other name.